UUGCAUUCGUCGGGUAGGAUCACAAGAAACAAUAAAUAAGAUACGAGAAUUAGGAAACACAAAAAAAGCAAAAAUCCGAAACCGAAACAUAAAAAGCAUACAAGAAAAAAAGCUAGAAAAAUUAACAAAAGAAACCUCAGCUUGCCUUUAUUUUUUUCACGUUUAAGUGCAAUCACAAACGAAGAAGCAGAAACAAGCAGAAGAAGAAAAAAGCAGCAGCACCAGUAGAGUGGUUAAUAAUUCUAACGCCAAACCAACUAUAAAACAAAAAGCCGAAAUCAUAAGCAACAGAAAGCUAGAACCACCGAAAAAUCAACAUCUAAAGCGGCAAGAAACUCACUAACUUCGAAGCAACAAUAGCCAUCAACGUUAAAAUCAAGGAAUCGCAAUCAGCAACCACUUUUUAAACAACAUCUGUAACCAAAAUCACUUUCAAGUACUUUUAACAAUCAUUUAAGCAAAAUUUGUACAAAAACCAAGAACUGGAUUAAUUCACAACACCGAUUCAACAACUACUUCAACAAUAACUGUAAAAGUGUCGCGACUUAAAGCUUGCGCUAUUCCGCUUUCUCGCGUGUACCUGUCGGUGUCGUCCUUUUUUGUUGUGGUGUACGAUAUUGGUGUUUUUCUCCAAAAUAUAUAUAUUUCUUGUGCUACGUGUUCGUCGUCCUUGUUGCGUGCGUGUGUUCCCGUGUGCGUCUGUGUGUGUGCGAGAAGAGGAGUGCGGUACUUUGUGUAUGCUAUGUCAGCGAUCGGGGGCAUUGGGGCGCUCCUCCAGGCGGCUCAAUUUCUCGAACAGCAUGCCAUCCCGCAGGCGGGAGGCGUCGGCAGCGUCCUUGGCGUGGGCGUGGCACUGCCUCAACAGCAGCAGCAGUCGGUCCACUGCAAGAACAUCUCCAUUAUCAACAACAACAAUAGCAGCCAGCACAAUAGAAAUAGCAGCAGUAACGGGAUUAUUGCAACGCCACCGUACACGAACGGAAAUGGCAACGGUACCGCCGGCGUCGGUAACGCGAGCGCCAACUCUAACGUUAGCACCAAUGCGAACGGAAACGGUCUGAGCAACGGUCACAGCAGUCCGCGCAGUCAAUUAGCAGCCGCCGCUACUGCCCACGAUUACGAGUUUACCGCCGCCGGAGUUGCCAAUGGGCACAGCGAAGGUCGCUCCCACGUCUCGGAGGACGAUAAUUCCUCAAUCAACAACAACAAUACCCAUCCCCCAUUACAACAACAGCACAGUGCUGCGGGGAGAACGACAACAAGAAUAGCGACAACACCAGCUAUAUUAACAAAGUUGAUGGGAAAUUCAGUCACACCCGCCUCAAGCAACACCUCCCUCCCCACAAGCACAGCCCCCUCAAUUACCACUUCCCCGCCCGCCUCCUCAGACUUUAUGCUGCUGGCAGCGGCAGCAGCAACGACAACGAGUGCAACACCCGCAACAGUGACAUCUGCUGCUGCAUCAGCAGCAACAGCCUCCAAUCCUGCCAAGCACAAACUGGGCUCCAUCGCCGAAAUACCGCCCAAAUUUCUAGUGGUAUCAGAUGCCAACGGAGUUUAUUCCACUCCCACGAAUUCCACGAAUCCCAAUGGCUUCGCCGCCGAUUCCCUGGGCGUGGGUUACACCGAAGCGACGAUCAAAAAGCUAAUGCAGAAUUUACAAAGGCCACGCCAGCAGCAGCAAUCACUGCAGCAAUUGCGUAGUCUGCGACCGGCGGAAAUUUCCCUAACACCGCCGCCAGCUGCCACUAGAAAAGUGGACACCAGCAACUCACGGACACGCUCUUACUCACUGUCCAAUGUUUCAGCAGCCAGGGAUCAGCAGGAUCAUCCGCAGCAUCAGCAACAUGGUAGCCAUCUGCAAAUUCAGCAGCACUACGGCUAUAUGAGGAGUACCAUUGGCGGCGUGGUUUAUGGCUUGCCCACGGACUCUGUCGAUUCUGCGGCAUCCUCGGCCGGUGGAGCGGGAGCAGUAGCGGUGGCCAUGAGUAUUGCCUCCUCGGCGCCAGCGGCGGGAUCUCAGCUAUCGGCGCAUCAUCACACGGGACACGGCGGACGCAGGCGCACCACCAGUUCCAACAGUAAUGGAGCGGGCACUCGCGAGGUGCACAACAAGCUGGAAAAGGAGCGACGCGCCCAGCUGAAGGAGUGCUACGACCUGCUUAAAAAGGUGCUGCCCAUGGGGGACGAGGACCGAAAGAAAACAUCCAACUUGACAAUACUCGACACGGCCCACAAAUAUGUUAAGCACUUGAUUCAGUAUGAUUGCGAGCAGGAGGCGAUGGUAGAGAAACUGGCCAAGCAGAAGAUUGAGCUGCAGAAGCGGCUGAAGCAAUUGGGUCUAAGGAGGGAAACGCCACCCACCGAUCAGCAAAGCAUUCCACAGGCCGACAAAGCAGUUUGCCUGGCAACAACAGCCACACCAGCACCACCAACGGCGGCCAGUGGUCGCAAUGGAACCACAAUUCUAUUUGAUGCAGGCAACGCCUGUGCCACUGGGCAGCAGCUUACAACUGUGAUAAACAAAACUAAUGCCACACCAGCAGGAGCAACCGCAGCAGCCAGCAGCAAACACAAUGGCAACCACACAGGAGGGGCAACAACCACACUGACUCCGGCCAUGGGCAUCAUGACAAUUAAAAACGGCAAUGGCAGCAACGGCAACAUACUGGCAAUCUCACCGACGGCGGGGCAGCAACAGCAGCUGCACCACCACCCCAACGGCAGCCCAGCGGGCAGUCCAUCGGGAAUAGGUGGAACAACUGGAGCCACCAUCACACGUGGCUCGCCUACGCCAUCGACUCCAUCGCCGUCGCCCAGCUCCUCGUCCAGUGGCGUCUCGUCGUCGGCCUCGUUUAUAGGCGGCUCCUCAUCAUCGUCCUCAUCGUCAUCGUCCUCAUCCUCCUCCUCAUCAUCAUCUUCCAGUUCGUCGUCCAGUUCGUCUUCGCCCACGCAACAACAACUACAGCAGAUUAUCACGCCCACGGCCACCGCCCAUUUAGUGGGUGCCCGUAGUGUCGGCCUAAAAUUCCAUGGCGGUGCGAGCGGAGCUGCCAGCGCUUUGAAUGGCGGUGCCACCAUUGUGGCCGCUGCUGUACCAGCUGGCGGAGGGUCGGCGAAUGGUAAGGGGAUGCGCACGAUCCAUCUUAAGAUCCACUGACUGGCACUUGCAAUUAAUUAUGUAUAGUUCCAUUGCUGGAAUGGAACUGGAAUACGUUUAUCAAACAAAGAAACAACUAUCACACAAGUAUUUCUGGAAAUGCAUUAUCAGGUUCCAUCAGGCCGAUAAGGAUCGCAAUUACAAUUUCCUGAUGCUCAGUGCUGGGACAACGGCACAGUAACCCAACAACCACAAGCAAACAACAAACAACUACAAUAAUAACGAAAACAACAACAACAACAACUGAAUUGUGUGCAACAGCUCCCACCUUAUGAGAAAGUAACAACUAGAGGAAGAACACUUUUUUAAAGCCAGAUGAAAAACAUGCGUAUUUUCCACACUUUUGCACACAUUGAAAAUGAAUACAAAAACAGCAGCGAACAACAAAACCAAGUCAUUAAGCUGUAAUUUUGUAAGAAAGAUAAAAAAAGAAACAAAAACAAAAGCUAUCAAACAGUUCCGCCCAACACUUAGCAUCGAUUUUGAAAAUCAACAAAAUGAAGAGAAAAAUUAUUUUUUAAUGAAUAAUUUUAAAGCAACAACAAAAACGCGGGAGAAACGCUAGCAACACCAACAACAACAAGGGAAGACCAAUUAUAUGAAUACGAAACAGCAACGACAGCAGCACUCAACCACAACAACAACAGCACUCAACCACAACAACAACAACAAAAGCUUAUAACCCCACAACACACAGGCCCAUCAACUGCAUAUAUACUAUAUAAACUAUAUAUCUAAUUAUACUACUUUAAAGUAAACCUUGAGAAGAAGAGGAACACACCAAGAAUAGCACAGUUAAAUGUAAAACAGGAAAAAACAAAACCAAAUGCGCUGUUGAAACAGAAACCACCAAUGGGUAACGCUUUAUAAAUAUAUAUAUCUCUAAAUAUAUAUAUAUAUAUAUAUACAUACCUAAAACUAAGAAGAAGAAGAUUAUAAAUUAGAAAUAUGUAAAAGCAGGAUUUCCAAAAUUCAUGUGGCAAAGAAAAAAUGAUAAAACGAAAUCAGAUAGAUGUCUCCUUUCUUGACCAAAACUAAAACAGAAAUAAUUUCUCUUGGAUAUACUUUCUUCUUCUUUCAAAAGCGGAACAUUAAGCAACAAAGCAUAAAUCAAAUCAAUAGAAAUAUAUCAAAUUAGUGUGCUUGUAUGUCAAAUAUGUGAGCACACAUUGCACACCACACAUUAACCAAUAGCAUGUAAAAUUAAAUAAAAACGCUGUCGACGGAGUGUUGUAUCUGUGUAA
Drosophila yakuba is the source of this 4404-nucleotide RNA transcript. It is a transcript of the gene named nuclear transcription factor Y subunit alpha, with no coding region annotated. NCBI's taxonomy places the organism in Eukaryota, Metazoa, Arthropoda, Insecta, Diptera, Drosophilidae. The record is from RefSeq and is a predicted model, not a curated record. The transcript has 8 exons.